UGACGGCUUAUGAAGAAGCUCCUGCACACUGACAUGUAAUCCAAAAAGGGAAGAAGGAAAAUGCAGCUGAUAGAGAAGGCUGUUCUUGGGAGUGCGCCCAUGGCCCAUCUGAUCAGGAGUUUAUCUGGGUCCGUGGGUUGAUCAACAUAUGUCACAGAUGACAGGAUAUUGAAAUGUUUUCUUUCCCCGCUUCAAGCCUACAUGCUAGCAAUCAUGAUUCUAGAGUGCUUCUU
Molecule: long non-coding RNA, 233 nt
Organism: Suricata suricatta (meerkat)
Lineage: Eukaryota; Metazoa; Chordata; Mammalia; Carnivora; Herpestidae
Exons: 3
Source: RefSeq, a predicted model, not a curated record